CAAUAAGCGGAGGAAAAGAAACUAACAAGGAUUCCCCUAGUAACUGCGAGUGAAGCGGGAAAAGCUCAAAUUUAAAAUCUGUCAGUCUUUGGCUGUCCGAGUUGUAAUCUAGAGAAGUGUUAUCCGCGCUGGACCGUGUACAAGUCUCCUGGAAUGGAGCGUCAUAGAGGGUGAGAAUCCCGUCUUUGACACGGACUGCCAGGGCUUUGUGAUGCGCUCUCAAAGAGUCGAGUUGUUUGGGAAUGCAGCUCAAAAUGGGUGGUAAAUUCCAUCUAAAGCUAAAUAUUGGCGAGAGACCGAUAGCGAACAAGUACCGUGAGGGAAAGAUGAAAAGAACUUUGGAAAGAGAGUUAAACAGUACGUGAAAUUGCUGAAAGGGAAACGCUUGAAGUCAGUCGCGUUGGCCAGGGAUCAACCUUGCUCUUGCUUGGUGUACUUUCUGGUUGACGGGUCAGCAUCAAUUUCGACUGUUGGAAAAAGAUCAAGGGAAUGUGGCAUCUUUGGAUGUGUUAUAGCCCUUGAUUGUAUACAAUAGUUGGGAUUGAGGAACUCAGCACGCCGCAAGGCUUGGGUUUUAAUUUAAACCACAUACGUGCUUAGGAUGCUGGCAUAAUGGCUUUAAUCGACCCGUCUUGAAACACGGACCAAGGAGUCUAACAUGCCUGCGAGUGUUUGGGUGGAAAACCCCAGCGCGUAAUGAAAGUGAAAGUUGAGAUCCCUGUCAUGGGGAGCAUCGACGCCUGGACCAGACCUUUUGUGACGGUUCCACGGUAGAGCAUGUAUGUUGGGACCCGAAAGAUGGUGAACUAUGCCUGAAUAGGGUGAAGCCAGAGGAAACUCUGGUGGAGGCUCGUAGCGAUUCUGACGUGCAAAUCGAUCGUCAAAUUUGGGUAUAGGGGCGAAAGACUAAUCGAACCAUCUAGUAGCUGGUCU
Molecule: ribosomal RNA, 933 nt
Filed under: Cortinarius calaisopus
Lineage: Eukaryota; Fungi; Basidiomycota; Agaricomycetes; Agaricales; Cortinariaceae
Description: eukaryotic LSU rRNA
Rfam family: Eukaryotic large subunit ribosomal RNA
Source: RNAcentral